GACGAACGCUGGCGGCGUGCCUAAUACAUGCAAGUUGAGCGAUGAAGAUUGGUGCUUGCACCAAUUUGAAGAGCAGCGAACGGGUGAGUAACGCGUGGGGAAUCUGCCUUUGAGCGGGGGACAACAUUUGGAAACGAAUGCUAAUACCGCAUAACAACUUUAAACAUAAGUUUUAAGUUUGAAAGAUGCAAUUGCAUCACUCAAAGAUGAUCCCGCGUUGUAUUAGCUAGUUGGUGAGGUAAAGGCUCACCAAGGCGAUGAUACAUAGCCGACCUGAGAGGGUGAUCGGCCACAAUGGGACUGAGACACGGCCCAAACUCCUACGGGAGGCAGCAGUAGGGAAUCUUCGGCAAUGGACGAAAGUCUGACCGAGCAACGCCGCGUGAGUGAAGAAGGUUUUCGGAUCGGAAAACUCUGUUGGUAGAGAAGAACGUUGGUGAGAGUGGAAAGCUCAUCAAGUGACGGUAACUACCCAGAAAGGGACGGCUAACUACGUG
Molecule: ribosomal RNA, 497 nt
Filed under: uncultured bacterium
Lineage: Bacteria
Description: partial 16S ribosomal RNA
Rfam family: Bacterial small subunit ribosomal RNA
Source: RNAcentral